RNAcentral lists this ribosomal RNA (497 nucleotides) under uncultured bacterium. RNAcentral describes it as "partial 16S ribosomal RNA". It matches the Rfam family "Bacterial small subunit ribosomal RNA", at positions 28 to 507 of the family's 1533-position model. The record is from RNAcentral.
GAUGAACGCUGGCGGCGUGCCUAAUACAUGCAAGUCGAGCGAACAGACGAGGAGCUUGCUCCUCUGACGUUAGCGGCGCACGGGUGUGUAACACGUGGAUACCGUACCUAUAAGACUGGGAUCACUUCGGGAAACCGGCGCUAAUCCCGGAUAAUAUAUUGAACCGCAUGGUUCAAUGGUAAAAGACGGUUUUGCUGUCACGUCUAGCUGGAUCCGCGCCGCAUUAGCUAGUUGGUAAGGUCACGGCUUACCAAGGCGACGAUGCGUAGCCGACCUGAGAGGGGGAUCGGCCACACGGGAACUGAGACACCGUCCAGAGGCCUACGGUAGGGAGCAGUAGGGAACCUGCCGCAAUGGUCGAAAGCUUGACGGAGCAACGCCGCGCGAGUGAUGAAGGCCUUCGGUGCGGAAAACCCUGUUAUUAGUUGUGAACAAAUUUGGACGUAACCAUGCCCGGCGUGACGGUACCGAAUCAGAAAGCCACGGCUAACUACGUG